Molecule: ribosomal RNA, 497 nt
Filed under: uncultured bacterium
Lineage: Bacteria
Description: partial 16S ribosomal RNA
Rfam family: Bacterial small subunit ribosomal RNA
Source: RNAcentral
GAUGAACGCUGGCGGCGUGCCUAAUACAUGCAAGUCGAGCGAACAGAUAAGGAGCUUGCUCCUUUGACGUUAGCGGCGGACGGGUGAGUAACACGUGGGUAACCUACCUAUAAGACUGGAAUAACUCCGGGAAACCGGGGCUAAUGCCGGAUAACAUUUAGAACCGCAUGGUUCUAAAGUGAAAGAUGGUUUUGCUAUCACUUAUAGAUGGACCCGCGCCGUAUUAGCUAGUUGGUAGGGUAACGGCUUACCAAGGCAACGAUACGUAGCCGACCUGAGAGGGUGAUCGGCCACACUGGAACUGAGACACGGUCCAGACUCCUACGGGAGGCAGCAGUAGGGAAUCUUCCGCAAUGGGCGAAAGCCUGACGGAGCAACGCCGCGUGAGUGAUGAAGGUCUUCGGAUCGUAAAACUCUGUUAUUAGGGAAGAACAAAUGUGUAAGUAACUGUGCACGUCUUGACGGUACCUAAUCAGAAAGCCACGGCUAACUACGUG